UAAUGUAGGCGUUGUGGGUCAAGUAUCCACUCAGUUGCAAAUUGCAAUUGAUUAGUUUGUCUUGUUGCUGUAAAUUGAAAAAGUAUCUAAAGUGUGAAUAGCAGUUUGUUCCAAUUUGCAACCCUCGAAGAAGCAAUGGCGAAACAAAACAUGUCAGCAUGGACAUGGAGUCCUAAGAAGUACGACGUUUUCAUCAGCUUCAGAGGUGAGGACGUCCGCUCCAACUUCAUUAGCCAUCUUCGUUCUGCUCUCGAUCGAGCCAACAUCAAAGCAUACGCCGAUGACGCUAACCUUCAUAAAGGAGACGAGGUUUGGCCCUCACUGUCCCAAGCAAUUCACGACUCACACCUCGCCAUCGUCGUUUUCUCCGAAACCUACGCUGAUUCCAAGUGGUGCUUGAAAGAACUGGUGGAAAUACUUCACUGCAGAAUAAUUCAGGGACUCGUAGCCAUACCUGUGUUCUACGAAGUGGAUCCAUCCCACAUAAGGAAUUACAGUGGCCCUUACGGAGAAGCAAUUGCAAAACAUGAGACAUAUUUUGGUGACACAGACAACCAAAUCCUCCAAGACUGGAAAGCUGCUCUCACUGAAGCUGCCAAUAUAUCUGGAUGGGACUCUCGUAGCCGUGACUACAAGAAUGAAUCUCAAGUAAUAGAGAAAAUUGUGAAAGAUGUAUCCCACAAGUUGAGCCUAAGGUUCCCUGUUGAACUAAAAGUACAAGACCUUGUUGAAAUUGAAAAGCACUGUGAAGAAGUCAAAUUGUUGCUGUCAGAAGAUCAAAAACAUCAGUUACAACAAAAUGUUCAAGUAAUUGGAAUUUGGGGCAUGGGCGGGAUUGGAAAGACAACUAUUGCCAAAGCCUUGUUUUCUCAACUCUUUCCGCAAUAUGAUGCUGUCUGCUUCUUAGCAAAUGUUAGAGAGGAAGCAAAAAGGCUUGGACUAACCUCUUUAUGUGAUAAGCUUCUUUCUGAGCUGCUCAAGGAUGAACAUCAUAAAGAUAAUCCUGCAGGAUCCACAUUCAUUCUGAGGAGGCUCAGCAAUAAAAGAGUUUUGAUUGUACUCGAUGAUAUGGAUAGUUUAGAUCAAGUAGAUAUUUUGUUUAGAGAACAAUGUAACUUUGUAGGCCCAGAUAGUAAAGUUAUUAUAACAACAAGAAAUAGGCAUUUGCUUACCGGAAGAGUUGAUAAGAUAUACGAGGUUGGGAUAUGGAACUUUGUCGAAUCUCUAGAACUUUUUUGCUUACAUGCCUUCAAGGAAAGACAUCCUAAUAAGGGAUAUGAAGAUCUCUCAGAAAGGGCCGUGAAAUAUGCAGGGGGAGUUCCAUUAGCUUUAAAAGUUUUGGGUUCUAAUCUUCAUUGUAGAAGUACAGAAUUUUGGGAAUGUGAAUUGAGUAAACUCAUGAAUUGUCCCAAUGACAGAAUUCAAAAUGUAUUACAAGUGAGCUAUGAUGAAUUAGACAACCUAGAGAAGAAAAUAUUUCUGGACAUUGCAUUCUUUUUCAAAGGUGAAGACAAAGAUUAUGUCGUAAGAAUACUAGAUGCCUGUGGCUUCUAUGCUACCAGUGGAGUAAAGGUCCUUGAAGACAAAGCUCUUAUAACUAUUUCAUAUUCUGGGACGAUACAAAUGCAUGACUUGAUACAGGAAAUGGGCUUGAACAUAGUUCGUGGGGGCAUUGAAGAUCCAGGAAAACGUAGUCGAUUGAGAGAUAUAGAAGAAAUUUCUGAUGUACUUGAAAAUAAAAAGGGGAGUAAUGUAAUUGAAGGGAUAAAAUUAGAUUUGUCUGAGAUUGAGGAUUUGCACUUGAAAACUAACACAUUGAAUUUGAUGACUAAUUUAAGAAUUCUUAGAUUAUAUGUACCUUCGGGUAAGAGAUCAGGAAAUGUGCACUAUUCUGGCGUCCUUAAUAAUUUGUCUGGUAAAUUGAGGUACCUUGAGUGGAAUGGAUGCUUUUUGAAGUCUUUUCCAGUAACCUUUUGUGCUAAGAUGCUUGUUGAGGUUUGCAUGCCACACAGCCAUGUUACAGAACUUUGGCAGGGGGUGCAGGAUGUUGCAAAUUUAGUGCGAAUUGACUUAAGUGAAUGCAAGCACUUGAAGAACCUCCCAGAUUUGUCUAAGGCGUCAAGGCUUAAAUGGGUCAAUCUUUUCGGUUGUGAAAGUUUGUGUGAUAUUCAUCCAUCUGUUUUCUCUUUUGACACACUUGAAACUUUGAUACUGGAUGGCUGCAAAAAGCUCAAGAGUCUCAAAAGUGAGAAACAUUUAACAUCUUUGGAGAAUAUUAGUGUCAAUCUUUGCACUAGUCUCAUGGAAUUCUCCGUGUCAUCAGAUUCAAUCACAAGUUUGGAUUUAAGCAGCACAGGUAUUGAAAUGUUGGACUCUCCUUCAUUUCGGCGUCUUAGAAAUCUCAAGGCACUCAGUGUAUAUCGUUUGAGACGGGCUCCUGUUGAUUUAUUUUUCCUAAAAGAUCUUGCGGAGCUUAGAAUUUUUAAUUGUAGACUGGCAAUUAGUAAACAUUUGCUGCAUUCAUUAUUUUGUCGCUCAAAAUCUCUACAACUACUACACUUGAAGAAUUGUUGUAACUUGUUUGAGCUCCCUGACAACAUCGGUGGCUUAUAUGCAUUACGUGAGUUAAGACUAGAUGGUAGCAAUGUGAAGACAUUGCCAGCUAGGAUCAAGCAUCUAGAUAAUCUAAGCAUUCUGGCCUUAGAAAAUUGUAGGAAGCUUGGGAGUCUAACAGAGCUUCCACCAUUUGUCACAGUGUUGAAUGCCAUGAACUGCAGGUCAUUGAGGACAGUAUCCAUUUUAACGACACCUUACGCAAUUUUAAGGGUGAAGACCAGAUUCAUUUCAUUCAUGAAUUGUGUUGCAUUGGAUGAACCUUCAUUCCAUUGCAUUAUGGAGGUUGCUCACUCAGAAACCGAGCUUGCGGCACGUGAAAUUAAUUAUAAAUUUGUGAAAGUUUGUUUCCCAGGUAGCAGAGUCCCAGGGCAUUUCAAAUAUCGAACAACAGACUCCUCAAUCACUAUUGAUCUUCCUUCUUCCCGAUCUGACUUUGUGGGAUUAUGUUUGUGUGUGGUUCUUUCCCACUCCUGGGGAAUGAAGAACCUUGGUGCUAAAAUAUGGUGUCAGUGCUACGUGGCAAAUGGUAGGAGGUUGGGACCCGCGACCACCUGGUAUGAUGAGGUUGUCACUGGGUUGAAUUCUGAUCAUGUUUUUAUAUGGUAUGACGCAAACCAUUUUGACAGCAUCGUCGAAAUUUAUGACACUGGUGAAAGACGUGUUUCCUUUGAGUUUUUUGUUACAAAUGCUAUUGGGCAACAUUUGACCAUCGGUACCCGAGAGUGUGGGGUCUUUCUGAUACUUGACCAGAAAAAUCAUUUUUCCGUUCCCCUUAAACUGCGGAAUAAGUUGUCUGUCGCGCUAUAUGUUCAGCGGGCUGCAUACGAUUUUAUUACGCGUGAUGAGAACGAUUGCAUUGACAUAAAUAAUCAGGAGCGGGAUUUGACUGAAGAUUGUUCUUGUUCGUGUGUCUGUUUAUUCGAUGUCUUAAGGUAUUUACGAAGACUGAUCAGCAUUUAGAAAGGCGUCAAAGCAGUAAUGAAAUACAGGAAAUUCUGGCUAUUUAGCUAUAACAUUGCAAUUCUAAAGAACAGAAGAGAAGUUGAUGAAAGUGAAAAAGGAAGCUUCUGCAGUAUCCAUCCGGUAAUACAUGAAGAUGAGUACAUAUUGGAUGGAAGUAUUUGUGAAUUUAUUAGUUACAUCGCUGAAGAAAUCAUCCUUAUUUAAGGCAAUGAUAAGUAAAGUUGUCUCCUUAAGAACUUGGUUAACAACAACAACAACAACAAUAAACUGCUGCUUCUACUUGCUACUGCUACUACUGCCACCACCACUACUACUACUGCUACUGCCACCACCACUACUACUACUGCUACUACUACUCCUGCUACUACUACUACUACUACCACCACUACUACUACUACUACUAUUACUACUAUGCUUAGAGGAUGAGAACACCCUAGGAGCUCCAUUUCAUCACUUCCAUCAAUUCUUCACAAUUUUGUGUGAUUCCAAUGGCUACUUGUAGCUAAACUCCCAUUCAUUGAGAUUAGAUGUAACUAGUUGAAUCUCAUGUAUUAACUUUACUUCAUUAAUCGAUGUUUUAUUUCAUUAUUUAGUGUUUUUCUCUUUUCUUAA
Non-coding RNA from Cajanus cajan (pigeon pea), 4191 nucleotides. The record is from RefSeq and is a predicted model, not a curated record. Lineage: Eukaryota; Viridiplantae; Streptophyta; Magnoliopsida; Fabales; Fabaceae.